ACCUACGGGGGGCAGCAGUGAGGAAUAUCGGUCAAUGGCCGAGAGGCUGAACCAGCCAAGUCGCGUGAGGGAUGACGGCCCUACGGGUUGUAAACCUCUUUUGUCGGGGAGCAAGACCCGCCACGAGUGGCGGAGCGAGAGUACCCGAAGAAAAAGCAUCGGCUAACUCCGUGCCAGCAGCCGCGGUAAUACGGAGGAUGCGAGCGUUAUCCGGAUUUAUUGGGUUUAAAGGGAGCGUAGGUGGAUUGUUAAGUCAGUUGUGAAAGUUUGCGGCUCAACCGUAAAAUUGCAGUUGAAACUGGCAG
RNAcentral lists this ribosomal RNA (305 nucleotides) under uncultured bacterium. RNAcentral describes it as "bacterial SSU rRNA". It matches the Rfam family "Bacterial small subunit ribosomal RNA", at positions 337 to 639 of the family's 1533-position model. The record is from RNAcentral.